UAAAAAAUUGUGAACCUCGAAGAUGUAGUCAAAAGUGACUCAAGUGUCAAUAUAAAGGGUGUACUUUGUUCUAGGGCUUCAGAGAAAGGAGACGAGCCACGAUUAGGA
Molecule: long non-coding RNA, 108 nt
Organism: Cucurbita moschata (crookneck pumpkin)
Lineage: Eukaryota; Viridiplantae; Streptophyta; Magnoliopsida; Cucurbitales; Cucurbitaceae
Exons: 3
Source: RefSeq, a predicted model, not a curated record